RNAcentral lists this ribosomal RNA (440 nucleotides) under uncultured bacterium. Its description in RNAcentral is "partial 16S ribosomal RNA". It matches the Rfam family "Bacterial small subunit ribosomal RNA", at positions 338 to 795 of the family's 1533-position model. The record is from RNAcentral.
CCUACGGGUGGCAGCAGUGGGGAAUAUUGCACAAUGGGGGAAACCCUGAUGCAGCGACGCCGCGUGAGUGAGGCAGUAUUUCGGUAUGUAAAGCUCUAUCAGCAGGGAAGAAAAUGCCGGUACCUGACUAAGAAGCCCCGGCUACCUACGUGCCAGCAGCCGCGGUAAUACGUAGGGGGCAAGCGUUAUCCGGAUUUACUGGGUGUAAAGGGAGCGUAGACGGCUAAUCAAGUCAGAAGUGAAAACCCAGGGCUCAACCUUGGGACUGCUUUUGAAACUGAGUAGCUAGAGUGCAGGAGAGGUAAGCGGAAUUCCGAGUGUAGCGGUGAAAUGCGUAGAGAUUAGGAGGAACACCAGUGGCGAAGGCGGCUUACUGGACUGCAACUGACGCUCAUGCACGAAAGUGUGGGUAUCGAACAGGAUUAGAUACCCUAGUAGUC